GACGGAGGAUGCAAGUGUUAUCCGGAAUCACUGGGCGUAAAGCGUCUGUAGGUGGUUCGAAAAGUCCACUGUUAAAAAUUGAGGCUUAACUUCAAAGAUGCCGUGGAAACUUUCAAACUAGAGUAUGGUAGGGGUAGAGGGAAUUUCCAGUGGAGCGGUGAAAUGCGCAGAUAUCAGGAGGAACACCGGUGGCGAAGGCGGGUCUCUGGGCCGAUACUGACGCUGAGGAGCGAAAGCGUGGGGGAGCGAACAGG
RNAcentral lists this ribosomal RNA (254 nucleotides) under uncultured bacterium. RNAcentral describes it as "partial 16S ribosomal RNA". It matches the Rfam family "Bacterial small subunit ribosomal RNA", at positions 524 to 776 of the family's 1533-position model. The record is from RNAcentral.